RNAcentral lists this transfer RNA (71 nucleotides) under Cordylochernes scorpioides. Its description in RNAcentral is "tRNA-Cys". It matches the Rfam family "tRNA". Rfam says of the family: Transfer RNA (tRNA) molecules are approximately 80 nucleotides in length. Their secondary structure includes four short double-helical elements and three loops (D, anti-codon, and T loops). The record is from RNAcentral. Lineage: Eukaryota; Metazoa; Arthropoda; Arachnida; Pseudoscorpiones; Chernetidae.
CCAUCGGUGGUUCAGUGGUAGAAUGCUCGCCUGCAACGAGGGCGGCCCCGGUUCUAUUCCCGGUCGAUGCA